ACGUCUCGCUCCGGGGCGGAAAGUGGGUCAGGGCCGGGCCGGCGGAGCGCGCAGCGGGGGCUACAGAUUCUUUCCACCAUGGCCAGACGCCCCCGGAACAGCAGGGCCUGGCACUUCGUCCUGAGUGCAGCCCGCCGAGACGCAGAUGCCCGGGCCGUGGCUCUAGCAGGCUCCACCAACUGGGGCUACGACUCUGAUGGGCAGGUAGGUCCCAGCGGGCGAGGCGGACGUGGCUGGCCUAAGGUGUGGAGAUGCCCUAGGCAGGCAGGCAGGCAUUACCUGAACAGGGAAUCAGUCGGAGGGAAAGAUGCUUCUGAGGCCAGAGGCCCAGUCCAACCCUGGGCCUGUCUCCUGGAUGCACCACAUUCUGUAAGACUCUUUAAUUUGGCAGAGGACACACACAGCCUCAGGGGUGACAGGACCUCAGAACACACUGCAUAUUUCACUGUGCUUUCUCCUCUGAAACACAUGGUAUGGAGAGGUUCACAGUUGUUUUGGUUCAUUCAACAGAAAUUCU
Molecule: small RNA, 517 nt
Filed under: Pongo abelii (Sumatran orangutan)
Lineage: Eukaryota; Metazoa; Chordata; Mammalia; Primates; Hominidae
Description: retained intron
Source: RNAcentral